UUCUGGGAAGGGACGGGGUGGUGAAGGAAGGGGUGGGGCCUAGGCGCAGGGGAGGGACGUCGCGGGCGGAGCCUAAUAGAGGGGCGGGGCUCAGGCAAGGAGGCGGUGUCUGGGAGGGCCGUGGCAGGAGCGGAAUGGAGGCGGGGCAGAGCGGGAAUGGGUGGGGCCUAAAGCAAGGUGAGGUUGAGCUACUGUCUGGGGCAGAGGGAGGUGCACGCGGCAGGCGGGGCGGGCUCCAGCGAGGGGUGUGGCCUGGUCAGGGGCGGGGCCUAGGCUGGGGCGGGCUUUCCGGGUUUUAAACUUGGCUUCCUCCAUCCCGCCCUCUCCUGCUCCUGGGCUCCUGCGCAGCUUGUGCUGUCCCGGAGGAGGUGAGGCGUCUGUCCUUCAGGGAUCCCCCCAGACCUGGCAUGGAGAGCUUGGAGGAGUGCGGAGAGGACGCCGCGCUGGAGCCCUGCAGGACCCCCCAGGCCUCCGUGACAUUCAAGGAUGUGGCCGUGGACUUCACCUGGGAGGAGUGGAGGCUCCUGGACCCUCCCCAGAAGGAGCUGUUCUGGGAGGUGAUGCUGGAGAACUACAGGAACCUGGUCUGCCUGGGUGAGGAGGGCUCCUCUGGGCCUUGGGAUCUGCCCAUGGAAGGGGAUCUGCUUCCUUCUCCUGGGCCCUAUCCAGUGUGCAGCUGGGAUUCUCUGGCUUGUAAUGGCCUGAGCACUUUUUAUGCUAACCAGGCCAAAAGCCAGGCUGAAAGGCUCUCGUUUUGUUUGUCUAGCGAUGAAGGGCUUUACUGCAUGGUCCCAGCCCAGCUCUGCUCCCUCAGGCCACAGGGGCCUUCUCAAGACUCAGGGGAAGUACUUGACGUCAGCCAAGCUCCCAAUACCUCAGUAUUGAAUGGAUCAAAUGAACCCUUGUCUUUCAGAACCCCCCUCCAUUCCUUGUUCCAGUCCUGUGUCUUCCCAGGAAAACAAACCAGAGCAGCCUUGAGAUGUUUUCUCUAAGCACCUCCAUGGCACCCAGGCUCCUUUACUAGCUUGUUCCUAAGGGCAUGAGAGAUCAUCCUCCCUCUUCAUCUCUUUGCCCUUUCCCAUGACUAGGCCUUGCUGAUUCAAACAAGGAUGUGAGGAUCUCUGAGCUGGAGUCAGGGGAACCACAUUGGAUUCCAACUGGUGGUGUCCUAAGAAGCUGCUGGCCAGGUGAGUGAGGGAGUGGAUGAGUGUCUGACCCUGGUGAGGACACAACAACCCAUACACAGCUCUGCUGGUCAUUCAUCUCUCAGCCCACCGAGAAUGGGCUCCUGGGUCAUCCCCUCAGUGACCUUCUGGGCCAGGAACUCCUCUCUCUGCCACAGAUCCCACAUAGAAUUCCUUCCUGCUUUCUCCACUUUGAAUGAUUUUGUCUCAAAAGGUAUGGAUAGAAAUAACC
Molecule: long non-coding RNA, 1416 nt
Filed under: Monodelphis domestica (gray short-tailed opossum)
Lineage: Eukaryota; Metazoa; Chordata; Mammalia; Didelphimorphia; Didelphidae
Description: lncRNA (ENSMODG00000046905.1)
Source: RNAcentral